Molecule: transfer RNA, 68 nt
Filed under: Diamphipnoa annulata
Lineage: Eukaryota; Metazoa; Arthropoda; Insecta; Plecoptera; Diamphipnoidae
Description: tRNA-Met
Rfam family: tRNA
About the family: Transfer RNA (tRNA) molecules are approximately 80 nucleotides in length. Their secondary structure includes four short double-helical elements and three loops (D, anti-codon, and T loops).
Source: RNAcentral
AGAAAGAUAAGCUAAAUAAGCUACUGGGUUCAUACCCCAUUUAUAGAGGUUCAACCCUCUUCUCUCUA